CCGGCGCACGGGUGAGUAACACGUAUCCAACCUGCCUCAUACUCGGGGAUAGCCUUUCGAAAGGAAGAUUAAUCCAGGAUGGCAUCAUGAGUUCACAUGUCCGCAUGAUUAAAGGUAUUUUCCGGUAGACGAUGGGGAUGCGUUCCAUUAGAUAGUAGGCGGGGUAACGGCCCACCUAGUCAACGAUGGAUAGGGGUUCUGAGAGGAAGGUCCCCCACAUUGGAACUGAGACACGGUCCAA
This 241-nucleotide ribosomal RNA is filed under the name uncultured bacterium. RNAcentral's name for it is "partial 16S ribosomal RNA". It matches the Rfam family "Bacterial small subunit ribosomal RNA", at positions 95 to 334 of the family's 1533-position model. The record is from RNAcentral.